Non-coding RNA from Prunus mume (Japanese apricot), 575 nucleotides. NCBI's taxonomy places the organism in Eukaryota, Viridiplantae, Streptophyta, Magnoliopsida, Rosales, Rosaceae. The record is from RefSeq and is a predicted model, not a curated record.
AAUGCCGUUUUUGGUUAAUCAAGCAUACUUGAUGGCUAAUGGUUACACAUAUGGAUAAAAUGUCAGCUCCUUCAUCAAGGGAGCGUGCCCAACGCCUCUAUGACAAGGUUAUUGAAUUGGAGAAUAGGUGUCGGAGGUCUGCUCAAGAAAAAAUAUAGAACUUCCUUCAUCUUUGCCCUCUGGCGAACCUUCCUCUCUUAAAGUGCCAUGGACGAGUUAUGGUCCGUCAAACAUUCGAAUAGUCCCAUUUCCAACUGGUGAAUACACUGAUGAUGAGUUCCAGUCCAUCAUAAAAAGUGUCAUGUGUGUACUGCAUCUUUUGGGAUUUCUCUACCCAAUUUCUCGGUUGAUCAGCUAUUCUGUGUUUGAGAAGGAACAGAAGAUAAGAGGUCUUUAUAUGAUGGGGCUGGAAGAUGGGAUAUUCCAUCUCUCAUGGUUUAUUGCAUAUGAUUUGCAGGUUGGUUCUUUGUUCUUUUGUAUUUUUGUUUAAUUUAUGAAGAAGUCUCAGCAAGAAUUCAAUCAAUGUAACCCCAUUUUUUUAAUGAUAUUUUUAUAUUAUAAAUUUAUUAUGUAAA